UUUUGUAGCGUAAAAGCGAAAUAAAUUCAUACAUACUGUAAUACAAAUAGUCAAGGUAUGUAAUUAAAUUUACAAUGACACAUGGGCCCUCAAAUGACAAAAGUGAACGAAGGCUGUGAACCUACGAUUUUUGAUGAAGUAAAGCCAAUUGUAGCCUUCGACGAUAUCAGCUAUCUACAAACUAUCCUGAGCCUGAAAUGGGUGGAAAGGAG
This 212-nucleotide long non-coding RNA is filed under the name Theobroma cacao (cacao). Its description in RNAcentral is "long non-coding RNA (TCAC_LNC001094)". The record is from RNAcentral. Lineage: Eukaryota; Viridiplantae; Streptophyta; Magnoliopsida; Malvales; Malvaceae.